This 905-nucleotide ribosomal RNA is filed under the name Aureobasidium pullulans. RNAcentral describes it as "LSU rRNA". It matches the Rfam family "Eukaryotic large subunit ribosomal RNA", at positions 38 to 961 of the family's 3401-position model. RNAcentral also lists the same sequence under 1 other name. The record is from RNAcentral. Lineage: Eukaryota; Fungi; Ascomycota; Dothideomycetes; Dothideales; Saccotheciaceae.
GCAUAUCAAUAAGCGGAGGAAAAGAAACCAACAGGGAUUGCCCUAGUAACGGCGAAGUGAAGCGGCAACAGCUCAAAUUUGAAAGCUAGCCUUCGGGUUCGCAUUGUAAUUUGUAGAGGAUGCUUUGGGUAAAACGCCAGUCUAAGUUCCUUGGAACAGGACGUCAUAGAGGGUGAGAAUCCCGUAUGUGACUGGAAAUGUUAACCUAUGUAAAGCUCCUUCGACGAGUCGAGUUGUUUGGGAAUGCAGCUCUAAAUGGGAGGUAAAUUUCUUCUAAAGCUAAAUAUUGGCGAGAGACCGAUAGCGCACAAGUAGAGUGAUCGAAAGAUGAAAAGCACUUUGGAAAGAGAGUUAAAAAGCACGUGAAAUUGUUGAAAGGGAAGCGCUUGCAAUCAGACUUGUUUAAACUGUUCGGCCGGUCUUCUGACCGGUUUACUCAGUUUGGACAGGCCAGCAUCAGUUUCGGCGGCCGGAUAAAGGCUCUGGGAAUGUGGCCUCCACUUCGGUGGAGGUGUUAUAGCCCAGUGUGUAAUACGGCCAGCCGGGACUGAGGUCCGCGCUUCGGCUAGGAUGCUGGCGUAAUGGUUGUAAGCGACCCGUCUUGAAACACGGACCAAGGAGUCUAACAUCUAUGCGAGUGUUCGGGUGUCAAACCCCUGCGCGUAAUGAAAGUGAACGGAGGUGGGAACCGCAAGGUGCACCAUCGACCGAUCCUGAUGUCUUCGGAUGGAUUUGAGUAAGAGCAUAGCUGUUGGGACCCGAAAGAUGGUGAACUAUGCCUGAAUAGGGUGAAGCCAGAGGAAACUCUGGUGGAGGCUCGCAGCGGUUCUGACGUGCAAAUCGAUCGUCAAAUUUGGGUAUAGGGGGCGAAAGACUAAUCGAACCAUCUAGUAGCUGGUUCCUGC